CGCCUCUUGCAAAAUAAAUGAAUAAGAGGUCCCGCCUGCCCUGUGACUAUGUGUUUAACGGCCGCGGUAUUUUGACCGUGCGAAGGUAGCGCAAUCACUUGUCUUUUAAAUGGAGACCUGUAUGAAUGGCAUAACGAGGGCCUAACUGUCUCCUUUUUCAAGUCAAUGAAAUUGAUCUUCCCGUGCAGAAGCGGAAAUAAUCACAUAAGACGAGAAGACCCUAUGGAGCUUUAGACAGAAAGCAGACCAUGUUAAGCACCCUCACAUAAGAGACUAAACCGGAUGUUUACUGCCUAAUGUCUUUGGUUGGGGUGACCGCGGCGAAACAAAUAACCUCCGUGUAGAAAAAGGGCUACGCCCUUCAAACCGAGAGCUACAGCUCAAAUGAACAGAAUAUCUGACUAAACAAGAUCCGGCAACGCCGAUCAACGGACCGAGUUACCCUAGGGAUAACAGCGCAAUCCCCUUCUAGAGCCCAUAUCGACAAGGGGGUUUACGACCUCGAUGUUGGAUCAGGACAUCCUAAUGGUGCAGCCGCUAUUAAGGGUUCGUUUGUUCAACGAUUAACAGUCCU
This 574-nucleotide ribosomal RNA is filed under the name Chaetodon kleinii (sunburst butterflyfish). RNAcentral describes it as "partial 16S ribosomal RNA". It matches the Rfam family "Bacterial large subunit ribosomal RNA", at positions 1817 to 2597 of the family's 2925-position model. The record is from RNAcentral. Lineage: Eukaryota; Metazoa; Chordata; Actinopteri; Chaetodontiformes; Chaetodontidae.